AAAAGAAUUGUUACUUAUAAAGGUGGUGUUUAAAUAAAUAUGCAUUUUAAUCAUCACAUAAUUAUGAUUAGUUAAUUAAACUAAGGAGUGGAAAGAGUAAGGUAAUUAAUUAGGGAGAGAGGAAGAUAUUUUAGUUUUGGGUGCAAUUAAUGCGAUCGAAAGGUUCUUGAGAAAAGCCAGAGAGGCUUAUAGAUCCAAU
Molecule: long non-coding RNA, 199 nt
Filed under: Carica papaya (papaya)
Lineage: Eukaryota; Viridiplantae; Streptophyta; Magnoliopsida; Brassicales; Caricaceae
Description: long non-coding RNA (CPAP_LNC012357)
Source: RNAcentral